This is a long non-coding RNA of Equus caballus (horse), 2602 nucleotides long. NCBI's taxonomy places the organism in Eukaryota, Metazoa, Chordata, Mammalia, Perissodactyla, Equidae. The record is from Ensembl.
UGCUGCUCUUGGUGUGCUACAUUUGCCUACAGCUGCCAGGCCGAAAGGGCUGCCUUGUUUGCAAAGAGGCAGAGACACCCCUAAGCAUCUUGCUUAGAGCUCAUUGGGAAGCUAAGAAACAACUGGCUCUGCCCAUUGCUCUGACAGCCUACCGGCAACAUCUCUUACAGAAGCCUGUGAAACGCAUUUUCUAGGCAGGCCUGAUCUGGCUGAAGUAGAACUUCUUCUCUGGCUGUGCUACAUUGGCUUUGAGCUGCCAGGCCGAAAGGGCUGCCUUGUUUGCAAAGGGGAGGAGCGGCCCCAAGCAUCUUGCUUUCAGCUCUUUCUGAAGCUAAGAAAAAACUGGCUCAGCCCAGUGCUCUAACAGCCUAGCGGGAACAUAUCUUACAGAGGCCUGUGAAACGCAGUUUCUUGGCUGGCCUGAUCUGGCUGAAGUAGAACUUCUGCUCUGGGUGUGCUACAUUGGCAUAGAGAUGCCAGGCCCAAAACGCUGCCUCGUUUGCAACGAGGCAGAGAAGCCCUAAAGCAUCUUGCUUCCAGAUCUUUGGGAAGCUAAGAAACAACUGGCUCUGCCCAGUGCUCUUACAACCUACCUGGAACAUCUGUUACCAAGGCCUGUGAAAUGCAAUUUCUUGGAAGGCCUGAUCUGUCUGAAGCAGAACUUCUGCUCUGGGUGUGCUACAUUGGCAUAGAGCUGCCAUGCCCAAAGUGCUGGCUUCCUUGCAAAGCUGUAGAGGGGCCCCAAAGCAUCUUGCUUCCAGCACUUUGGGAAGCUAAGAAACAACUGGCUCUGCCCAGUGCUCUUACAACCUACCUGGAACAUCUGUUACCAAGGCCUGUGAAAUGCAGUUUCUUGGCAGGCCUGAUCUGGCUGAAGCAGACCUUCUUCUCUGGGUGUGCUACAUUGGCUUAGAGCUGCCAGGCCCAAAGGGUUGCCUUGUUUCCAAAGGGGGAGAGAGGCCCCAUACAUCUUGCCUCCAGAUCUUUGGGAAGCUAAGGAACAACUGGCACUGAACAAUGCUACCACAGCCUACCGGGAAUAUCACUUACAAAGGUCUGUGAAACGCAGUUUCUUGGCAGGCCUGAUCUUACUGAAGUAGAAUUUCUGCUCUGGGUGUGCUACAUCUGCCUACAGCUGCCAGACCGAAAGGGCUGCCUUGUUUGCAAAGGGGCAGAGAGGCCCCAAAGCAUCUUGCUUAGAGCUCUUUGGGAAGCUAAGAAACAACUGGAUCUGCCCAGUGCUCGUACAGCCUAUGUGGAACAUCUGUUACCAAGGCCUGUGAAACGCAGUUUCUUGGCAGGCCUGAUCUGGCUGAAGUAGAACUUCUGCUCUGGGUGUGCUACCGUGGCCUAGAGCUCUCAGGCGCAAAGGGCUGCCUUGUUUCCAAAGGGGCAGAGAGUCCCCAAAGCAUCUUGCUUCCAUCUCUUUGGGGAGCGAAGAAACAACUGCCUCUGCCCAGUGCUCUUACAGCCUACCCAGAACAUCUCUUACCAAGGCCUGUGAAAUGCAGUUUCUUGGCCGGCCUUAUCUGGCUGAAGUAGAACUUCUGCUCUGGGUGUGCUAGAUUGGCAUAGAGAUGCCAGGCCCAAAGGGCUGCCUAGUUUGCAAAGGGGCAGAGAGGCCCCAAAGCAUCUUGCUUAGAGCUCUUUGGGAAGCUAAGAAACAACUGGCUCUGCCCAGUGCUCUUACAGCCUACGGGGAACAUCUCUUACCAAGGCCUGUGAAAGGCAGUUUCUUGACAGGCCUUAUCCGGGAGAAGUAGAACUUCUGCUCUGGGUGUGCUACAUUGGCCUAGAGCUGCCAGGCCGAAUGGGCUGCCUUGUUUGCAAAGGGGUAGAGCGGCCCCAAAGCAUCUUGCUUCCAGCUCUUUUGGAAGCUAAGAAACAACUGGCUCUGCCCAGUGCUCUUACAACCUACGUGGAACAUCUGUUACCAAGGCCUGUGAAAUGCAGUUUCUUGGCAGGCUUGAUCUUGCUGAAGUAGACCUUCUCCUCUCGGUGUGCUACAUUGGCAAGAGGUGCCAGGCCCAAAGGGCUGCCUUGUUUCCAAAGGGGGAGAGAGGCCCUAAGACAUCUUGCUUCCAGCUCUUUGGGAAGCUAAGAAACAACUGGCACUGGACAAUGCUACCACAGGCUACCGGGAACAUCACUUACAAAGGCCUGUGAAACGCAGUUUCUUGGCAGGCCAGAUCUUACUGAAGUAAAAUUGCUGCUCUUGGUGUGCUACAUUUGCCUACAGCUGCCAGGCCGAAAGGGCUGCCUUGUUUGCAAAGAGGCAGAGACACCCCUAAGCAUCUUGCUUAGAGCUCAUUGGGAAGCUAAGAAACAACUGGCUCUGCCCAUUGCUCUGACAGCCUACCGGCAACAUCUCUUACAGAAGCCUGUGAAACGCAUUUUCUAGGCAGGCCUGAUCUGGCUGAAGUAGAACUUCUUCUCUGGCUGUGCUACAUUGGCUUUGAGCUGCCAGGCCGAAAGGGCUGCCUUGUUUGCAAAGGGGAGGAGCGGCCCCAAGCAUCUUGCUUUCAGCUCUUUCUGAAGCUAAGAAAAAACUGGCUCAGCCCAGUGCUCUAACAGCCUAGCGGGAACAUAUCUUACAGAGGCC